GACGGAGGAUGCAAGCGUUAUCCGGAAUGAUUGGGCGUAAAGCGUCCGCAGGUGGCAGUUCAAGUCUGCUGUCAAAGACCGGGGCUUAACUUCGGAAAGGCAGUGGAAACUGAACAGCUAGAGUAUGGUAGGGGCAGAGGGAAUUCCUGGUGUAGCGGUGAAAUGCGCAGAUAUCAGGAAGAACACCCGUGGCUAAGGCGGUUCUCUAGUACGGUACUGACGCUGAGACGCGAAAGCGUGGGGAGCGAACAGG
RNAcentral lists this ribosomal RNA (253 nucleotides) under uncultured bacterium. RNAcentral's name for it is "partial 16S ribosomal RNA". It matches the Rfam family "Bacterial small subunit ribosomal RNA", at positions 524 to 776 of the family's 1533-position model. The record is from RNAcentral.